AGAGAGAGAGAGGGAGGGAGGGAGGGAGGCGUCUCUUUCCCUCGUCGUUAUCCGGUCUCAAUCCGGUCCUUUGCUUUCCUUUCCCCCAAGCCGGGGGACGGAAACCCUAACGUACUUCUCUUGGGAAGCGCCGAGAUCCCCGAGUCGUCGGCAUUGCGUCUCCCGAAUCGCACUCCAUAUCACCGUACUGUGGCCCGAUCCGUCGCGGUUCCGCAGAUGAGUUCUGGUGUUGACGUUGGUGGCGGUUUCCAGAUUGCCUUGUUCUGGUUUUUAGUUUAAUUUCUUGGCAGAAUCUGACGAUUUGGUGGAGAUCGGGGUGGUAGUGGUUCUGACUGAUGCUUCCAGUGCUAUUUGCUGGGAUUGGGGCGAGAUGACGUCUGCUACGGCCGCGGUGCCGCCGUUCGAGCGCAAUCGAGCGGUAGCGUCGAACACGGUGUUUAAGAGUGGACCACUCUUCAUAUCAUCCAAAGGAAUUGGUUGGAAAUCAUGGAAGAAGCGUUGGUUCAUUCUCACGCGCACGUCUCUGGUUUUCUUUAAAAAUGAUCCUAGUGCACUACCACAGAGAGGUGGUGAAGUGAAUCUUACUUUAGGGGGUAUUGACCUAAACAAUUCUGGGAGUGUGGUGGUUAGGGAAGAUAAAAAGUUGCUGACUGUUUUGUUUCCUGAUGGACGUGAUGGGCGUGCAUUCACCCUUAAGGCAGAGACAUCAGAAGAUUUAUUUGAAUGGAAAACAGCACUAGAACAUGCUCUAUCACAAGCUCCAAAUGGUGUCCUUGUGAUGGGAGACAAUGGAAUAUUUCGUAAAGACAAUGCUGACACAUAUGAAGGAUCUGUGCAACACUGGAGAGAUAAGUGCCCGAUCAAGUCAUUGGUUGUUGGUAGACCAAUUUUGCUUGCACUGGAAGACAUUGAUGGAGGAUCUUCCUUCCUAGAAAAGGCUUUGUGCUUUCUAGAGAAGCAUGGAACAAAAGUUGAAGGAAUCUUGCGACAGUCAGCUGAUGUUGAAGAAGUUGAUCGAAGAGUUCAAGAGUAUGAGCAAGGGAGGACUGAAUUUGCAGCAGAUGAGGAUGCCCAUGUUGUUGGUGACUGUGUAAAGCAUGCUCUUCGGGAGCUACCAUCAUCUCCGGUUCCUGCAUCCUGUUGCACUGCAUUGCUGGAAGCCUAUAGACUUGAAGGGAAGGAAGCUUGCAUUAAUGCUAUGCGUUCUGCAAUUGCUGAGACAUUCCCAGAACCAAACCGGCGGUUGUUGCAGAGGAUUUUAAAAAUGAUGCACACAAUUGCCUCUCAUACUGCUAAGAACCGGAUGACUCCAUCUGCUGUUGCCGCUUGCAUGGCACCACUUUUGUUGCGCCCACUUUUGGCUGGUGAAUGUGAGAUGGAUGACUUUGAUAUGAAUGGUGACAGUUCUGCUCAGCUUCUGGCUGCAGCAAAUGCUGCUAACAAUGCUCAGGCCAUCAUCACAACUCUCUUAGAGGUGUACGAGAAUAUUUUUGAUGAUGAUAAUUUAGACAGAUGCUCUCUGUCUCAUGAUUCCCAAAUUGAAGAUAGUGGCAGUGAGGAAUCAACAGAUGAUGGAAAUGCUGGGGUGAAAGAUAAUGGAUAUCAUGAUGCAGAAAAUGAUGUAGAUCCAGAAGUGGAUGAUGAUCCUGAACGUGUACAUAGUGGAAAACUGAGUGAAAGCAGUGGAUAUUGUGGCAGCGACCUUUAUGAGUGCAAGGUCUUUGCUGGUGAUGACUCAGAUGCUGAGUCUCCUAAAGAUAAUCAAGAUUCAGCCACAAAUAUAGAGUUAACUAGAGGUUCCCAAGCUGAACUACAUGAGCAUGAUCCUGCAAAUAAAACUGUUGAUAACUCAAUGACCGAGAAGGAUACCUCUAGUGUGUUGCCUACACGCGAGUGUCCCCUAUCAAUGGGAGAGAUCCUGUCAUCCUUUGAUCGAGGAAUGUCUUUCCCAGGUCAGGUAGCUGAAUAUUGUUUGGAGAGGCAUCCAAGCAAACCAAAUGGAUCACACACACAAAUGAAGCGAACUAAUUUUUGGGGACGCAAUAAUGCCAGAAAGAAUCAAUCAGUGGAGUCAGUUGAUUCGUCUGGAGAAGAAGAGCUUGCUAUCCAAAGGCUUGAGAUCACAAAGAAUGACCUCCGGAUUAGGAUUGCAAAAGAGGCCAAAGGAAAUGCCAUUCUACAGGCAAGUCUGGAAAGGAGAAAACAGGCUUUGCAUGAACGACGCUUAGCUCUAGAGCAAGACGUCUCAAGGCUACAAGAGCAAUUACAAGCCGAGAGGGACCUUAGAGCUGCUCUGGAGGUUGGCUUGAACAUGUCUUCUGGACAGUUUUCUAGCUCACAUGCCAUGGACUCUAAGACAAGGGCAGAACUUGAGGAGAUUGCCCUUGCUGAGGCUGACGUUGCCAGGUUAAAACAGAAAGUUGCAGAACUCCAUCUGCAACUUAAUCAACAACGUCAAAAUCACUAUGGAUCUCUCUCUCGUGCAUGUGAUUACUGUCAGCACCUUCCGACCCAUCUCGCACAACAGAAGAUUAUUCAGAAAGAUUCUGAUAUGAGCCUUGCUUUCUGCAACCAUGAGAGGAAACAAAAAAGUGAGCCUCAUUACAGGAAAGCACGUCUGGAACAGAUUGGAGGAACUUUAAGCUGAAAGUGCUACCUUCCGACAAGCUUUCUUGGAGACAUUCUUUGGAGACAACUGCAAGCGAAUCAAAAGGUAUGGAGUCAUCAACAAGCAUGUCAUCAGAAACCAUUGCUGUUAUUGCUAAUGAUACUUCCAGAAUAACGGAGGGUAUGGAAUAUCAAAGGCAACCAUCAGUGGCAUCUUCUACAUUGGUGGAACUGACAACCCGGCUUGACUUCUUCAAAGAACGGAGAUCCCAACUCAUGGAACAAUUGCAUGGUCUUGAUUUGAGCCAUGGAGUAUCCUUGCAUGGAUUAGCAUACAAAUCCUCCCCUCCAUGGAACAGUCCAAGAUGAGAGAGACAUAUAUAACCACUUGUACAUCCUUUGUCUAUGUCAUCUGAUAUGUUCUAGUAUUUGGUUUCGACUCUGUGUAGGAGUUGAACCUUCUGGUGAAGUUCUUUUACCCUGUAAAGACUAGAGACCAACGUAAAUUUUGUCUCUCUAUUUCACUUUUCCCUUUCUGUCAUUUGUUCUGUGGAAACUGGAGUGAUUGGAUUAGCUGUAUUCUAUCAAGAAUGUCCAUGGAUUGCUCAUUUUAAACUCCUGUACCUUAUAACAAUGCUAUCAAGAAAGUUGCUCUAUGACAGGUAGUUUACAGGGAA
Molecule: RNA transcript, 3284 nt
Organism: Phoenix dactylifera (date palm)
Lineage: Eukaryota; Viridiplantae; Streptophyta; Magnoliopsida; Arecales; Arecaceae
Gene name: rho GTPase-activating protein 7-like
Source: RefSeq, a predicted model, not a curated record